Molecule: long non-coding RNA, 830 nt
Filed under: Triticum aestivum (bread wheat)
Lineage: Eukaryota; Viridiplantae; Streptophyta; Magnoliopsida; Poales; Poaceae
Description: long non-coding RNA (TAES_LNC026558)
Source: RNAcentral
AUAUUAUGUCGUGACAGGACAAAAUCCAGAGUAUGUACAGAAAAAAAUGGACACAAGAUUGGCAAGACAUCAAGUUGCUAGGAGAGACAAAUACAUUUGUACAAACAUCAAUCUUGACCAUGGAAUAGAAGCAUUCAUAAUUGAGGACGUACAUACAUACACCAAGAUAAGAGAAGGAUGAGAUUAUUCCUGACUGACUGACUCGCACACACUGUUUACCCUGAAUUUCUCAAGGACAAGAUAGCGCAAUGAAACUAAACUGGCUUACUGAUGAUGACGCGACGACGUACACUUGCUGGAAUUUUUGAAGCGAUUUCAAUCUCUCAUGGCGAUGACGGAUGGACGAGAUGAGAUUGAGGUUUUCAGUAGUCGGCGGUGGGGAGCUGCUCGUGGGGGCGCUGGCCGAUGAAGCAGAUGUCGUAGACGAGGGCGGCGAUGGCGGCGCCGGCGAAGGGGCCGAGCCAGUAGACCCAGUGGUUCUCCCAGACGCCGCUGACGACAGCGGGGCCGAAGGAGACGGCGGGGUUCAUGGAGGCGCCGUCGAAGGCGCCGCCGGCGAGGAUGUUGGCGCCGACGAUGAAGCCGAUGGCGAUGGGCGCGAUCACCCCGAGGUCGCCGCGCUUGGGGUCGACCGCGGUGGCGUACACCGUGUAGACGAGCCCGAAGGUCAUGACGAUCUCGAACACCACGGCGUUCCAGACGCCGACGCCGGCGGAGAGCGAGAAGGCGCCCACGGCCUCGCCGCCGGUGGCGAUCUUGAGGAGGAGGCAGGCCACGACGGAGCCGAGCAGCUGCGCCACCCAGUACACCACGGCCUUGAGCAGGCUGAU